RNAcentral lists this ribosomal RNA (140 nucleotides) under uncultured eukaryote. RNAcentral describes it as "partial 18S ribosomal RNA". It matches the Rfam family "Eukaryotic small subunit ribosomal RNA", at positions 1299 to 1458 of the family's 1831-position model. The record is from RNAcentral.
UGGUGGAGCGGUUUGUCUGGUUAAUUCCGUUAACGAACGAGACCUCAGCCUGCUAACUAGCUAUGCGGAGCCAUCCCUCCGCAGCUAGCUUCUUAGAGGGACUAUCGCCGUUUAGGCGACGGAAGUUUGAGGCAAUAACA